RNAcentral lists this ribosomal RNA (515 nucleotides) under uncultured bacterium. Its description in RNAcentral is "partial 16S ribosomal RNA". It matches the Rfam family "Bacterial small subunit ribosomal RNA", at positions 28 to 523 of the family's 1533-position model. The record is from RNAcentral.
GAUGAACGCUGGCGGCGUGCCUAAUACAUGCAAGUCGAGCGAAUGGAUUAAGAGCUUGCUCUUAUGAAGUUAGCGGCGGACGGGUGAGUAACACGUGAGUAACCUGCCCAUAAGACUGGGAUAACUCCGGGAAACCGGGUCUAAUACCGGAUAACAUAUUGAACCGCAUGGUUCGAAAUUGAAAGGCUGCUUCCGCUGUCACUUAUGGAUCGACCCGCGUCGCAUUAGCUAGUUGGUGAGGUAACGGCUCACCAAGGCAACGAUGCGUAGCCGACCGGGGAGGCGGAUCGGCCACACUGGGACUGAGACACGGCCCAGACUCCUACGUGAGGCAGCAGUAGGGAAUGUUCCGCAAUGGACGAAAGUCUGACGGAGCAACGCCGCGUGAGUGAUGAAGGCUUUCGGGUCGUAAAACUCUGUUGUUAGGGAAGAACAAGUGCUAGUUGAAUAAGCUAGCACCUUGACGGUACCUAACCAGAAAGCCACGGCUAACUACGUGCCAGCAGCCGCAGUAA